RNAcentral lists this long non-coding RNA (616 nucleotides) under Pan troglodytes (chimpanzee). RNAcentral describes it as "long non-coding RNA NONPTRT005237". The record is from RNAcentral. Lineage: Eukaryota; Metazoa; Chordata; Mammalia; Primates; Hominidae.
GGCGGGCAGGCCGGGGGGCGCCGCGAGGGCGGAGCUGCGUUCUGCUCAGCACAGACCCGGGGGACACAGCGAAGGCAGAGCAGCGUUCUCCUCAGCACAGACCUUGGGAACACUGCAUCGCUUUGGGCAGAAUAGAUUACUGAUUUUGGGCACUCCAAGAUUUUGGGAGAGACCUCUCUCAUGAGAACUUUAUGUGGAACCCCUGCCUGCUUGGCUCCUGAAGUUCUUGUUUCUGUUGGGACUGCUGGGUAUAACCGUGUUGUGGACUGCUGAAGUUUAGGAGUUAUUCUUUUUAUCUGCCUUAGUGGGUAUCCACCUUUCUCUGAGCAUAGGACUCAAGUGUCACUGAAGGAUCAGAUCACCAGUGGAAAACACAACUUCAUUCCUGAAGUCUGGGCAGAAGUCUCAGAGAAAGCUCUGGACCUUGUCAAGAAGUUGUUGGUAGUGGAUCCAAAGGCAUGUUUUACAGCAGAAGAAGCCUUAAGACACCGUGGCUUCAGGUGGGUGUGGGACAGUGCCUGCUAGCAUAAAAUACGUGGGAAGCCCUGCUGCCUGAGAGACAUGAGACAGAGGACAGAAACAUGUUUACUUUGUUGAAUGUGUUUAAUUGUUUAAG